Podarcis lilfordi (Lilford's wall lizard) is the source of this 78-nucleotide non-coding RNA. Lineage: Eukaryota; Metazoa; Chordata; Lepidosauria; Squamata; Lacertidae. The record is from the annotation of a GenBank genome assembly.
UGAGGAAUAGCUCAGUUGGUAGAGUGUGAGACUCUUAAUCUCAGUGUCUUGGGUUCAAGCCCCACAUUGGGAGAAAAU